This 1354-nucleotide ribosomal RNA is filed under the name uncultured Actinomycetes bacterium. RNAcentral's name for it is "bacterial SSU rRNA". It matches the Rfam family "Bacterial small subunit ribosomal RNA". Lineage: Bacteria; Bacillati; Actinomycetota; Actinomycetes. The record is from RNAcentral.
GAGUUUGAUCCUGGCUCAGGACGAACGCUGGCGGCGUGCCUAACACAUGCAAGUCACGGGGGCCCGCAAGGGCAACCGGCGAACGGGUGCGUAACACGUGAGCAACCUGCCUUUGUGUGGGGGAUAGCCGGGCUAACGCCCGGGUAAUACCGCAUACGGUCACCGGGAGGAGUCUCCUGGUGAAGAAACCUCCGGGGCACAGAGAGGGGCUCGCGGCCUAUCAGCUAGUUGGCGGGGUAAUGGCCCACCAAGGCGACGACGGGUAGCUGGUCUGAGAGGAUGGCCAGCCACAUUGGGACUGAGAGACGGCCCAGACUCCUACGGGAGGCAGCAGUGGGGAAUCUUGCGCAAUGGGCGAAAGCCUGACGCAGCAACGCCGCGUGCGGGAUGACGGCCUUCGUGGUUGUAAACCGCUUUCAGCAGGGACGAAAAUGACGGUACCUGCAGAAGAAGCCCCGGCUAACUACGUGCCAGCAGCCGCGGUAAUACGUAGGGGGCAAGCGUUGUCCGGAUUCAUUGGGCGUAAAGAGCUCGUAGGCGGUUCAGUAAGUCGGGUGUGAAAGCUCCGAGCUCAACUCGGAGAGGCCACCCGAUACUACUGUGACUUGAGUCCAGUAGAGGAGCGUGGAAUUCCUGGUGUAGCGGUGAAAUGCGCAGAUAUCAGGAGGAACACCAGCAGCGAAGGCGGCGCUCUGGGCUGGAACUGACGCUGAGGAGCGAAAGCGUGGGUAGCAAACAGGAUUAGAUACCCUGGUAGUCCACGCCGUAAACGUUGGGCACUAGGUGUGGGGAGGAUUCAACCCUUUCCGUGCCGCAGCUAACGCAUUAAGUGCCCCGCCUGGGGAGUACGGCCGCAAGGCUAAAACUCAAAGGAAUUGACGGGGGCCCGCACAAGCGGCGGAGCAUGUUGCUUAAUUCGAGGCAACGCGAAGAACCUUACCUAGGUUGAACUACGCAGGAAAAGCCACAGAGAUGUGGUGUCCUUCGGGGCCUGCGAUAGGUGGUGCAUGGCUGUCGUCAGCUCGUGUCGUGAAAUGUUGGGUUAAGUCCCGCAACGAGCGCAACCCUUAUCCUAUGUUGCCAGCGCGUAAUGGCGGGGACUCGUAGGAGACUGCCGGGGUCAACUCGGAGGAAGGUGGGGACGACGUCAAGUCAUCAUGCCCCUUAUGUCUAGGGCUGCAAACAUGCUACAAUGGCCGGUACAAAGGGCUGCGAGACCGCGAGGUUGAGCGAAUCCCAAAAAGCCGGUCUCAGUUCGGAUUGAAGUCUGCAACUCGACUUCAUGAAGCUGGAGUCGCUAGUAAUCCCGGAUCAGCAACGCCGGGGUGAAUACGUUCCCGGGCCUUGCACACAC